CACACGUUGAAACGUGUGAUAGGCCUGCGCAUGUUCGACCCUAUGGUCCUCGGAGGGUUGGUGCCCCGAAGAGGAAGAAGACUGCCCAUAAGUCCCAUGACGGUCAGCGUCCCUGUGGAGUGGACUUAGGGAGCACCGCCGAUGGAGGGGGAGGUUUCUUCGAGGAGGGCGAACUCCCACCGGGUUCGGCGUCCCCUGGCGUUGACAACAUGGAUUGCUUUGUGCAACAAAUGUGCGACGCUUUUCACGAUGGGUCUUUGGGCAUCGACCUUAACAUCGAUCUUGAGCAGAUAAAUAAUGUUGAGCCCACAAUCCCUUAUUCAGAUGUUGCGAUGGAGGGGCCAAGCUUCUCGAAG
This is a long non-coding RNA of Asparagus officinalis (garden asparagus), 356 nucleotides long. RefSeq lists it as uncharacterized. The record is from RefSeq and is a predicted model, not a curated record. NCBI's taxonomy places the organism in Eukaryota, Viridiplantae, Streptophyta, Magnoliopsida, Asparagales, Asparagaceae. The transcript is spliced from 3 exons.